GCCUCCGUAGCUCAGCAGGACAGAGCGCGACGUUCCGAACGUCGAGGUCGCCGGUUCGAGUCCGGCCGGGGGCA
Molecule: transfer RNA, 74 nt
Filed under: Actinoplanes digitatis
Lineage: Bacteria; Bacillati; Actinomycetota; Actinomycetes; Micromonosporales; Micromonosporaceae
Rfam family: tRNA
About the family: Transfer RNA (tRNA) molecules are approximately 80 nucleotides in length. Their secondary structure includes four short double-helical elements and three loops (D, anti-codon, and T loops). Further hydrogen bonds mediate the characteristic L-shaped molecular structure. tRNAs have two regions of fundamental functional importance: the anti-codon, which is responsible for specific mRNA codon recognition, and the 3' end, to which the tRNAs corresponding amino acid is attached (by aminoacyl-tRNA synthetases). tRNAs cope with the degeneracy of the genetic code in two manners: having more than one tRNA (with a specific anti-codon) for a particular amino acid; and 'wobble' base-pairing, i.e. permitting non-standard base-pairing at the 3rd anti-codon position.
Source: Rfam by way of RNAcentral